This 253-nucleotide ribosomal RNA is filed under the name uncultured bacterium. RNAcentral's name for it is "partial 16S ribosomal RNA". It matches the Rfam family "Bacterial small subunit ribosomal RNA", at positions 524 to 776 of the family's 1533-position model. The record is from RNAcentral.
UACGUAGGGGGCAAGCGUUGUCCGGAAUCAUUGGGCGUAAAGCGCGCGUAGGCGGCCCGGUAAGUCCGCUGUAAAAGUCCAGGGCUCAACCCUGGAAAGCCGGUGGAUACUGUCGGGCUAGAGUCCGGAAGAGGCGAGUGGAAUUCCUGGUGUAGCGGUGGAAUGCGCAGACAUCAGGAGGAACACCGAUGGCGAAGGCAGCUCGCUGGGACGGUACUGACACUGAGGCGCGAAAGCGUGGGGAGCGAACAGG